This 3085-nucleotide long non-coding RNA is filed under the name Sus scrofa (pig). RNAcentral's name for it is "lncRNA (ENSSSCG00040029189.1)". The record is from RNAcentral. Lineage: Eukaryota; Metazoa; Chordata; Mammalia; Artiodactyla; Suidae.
GGGGGGGAGCGAGCGCUCGCGGGCCCCGUGGUGGGUUCGGCUGCGCGGCGGGGCUGAGGCGGCCGCGAAGGUCCGAGCGCAGAAAGUGGACACUGGGUUCCUGAACCUCCUCACUGAAGACAGCCAGGCCUCAAGCACAGGGUAGAGUGGUGCUGCUUCUUGGAAAAAUUGAAAAAGCUCUCUGGACGACAGGGGCCCAAAGCUGAUGGCAGACAAUGUCAGCCACUAACAACAUAGCCCAGGCUCGGAAGCUGGUGGAGCAGCUCCGCAUCGAGGCCGGGAUCGAGCGCAUCAAGGUCUCCAAAGCCUCAUCUGAACUCAUGAGCUACUGUGAGCAGCACGCCCGGAAUGACCCCCUGCUCGUGGGAGUCCCUGCCUCCGAGAACCCCUUUAAGGACAAGAAGCCUUGUAUUAUCUUAUAGCUUUGUUUUCUUGCGCUCAACUCCUCCCCGACACCCAGCCUCCAGUCAGGGCGCCAUUCAGUACAGAGUCCAGCAAAACUCUUAAUUCCAAAAGAAAUGCAAAAAGUUGCCACUGCCCAGAUGGGUUAAGAUGGAUCCUCUGAUUUCAGAUGGAUUUUCAGACCCCGCAAUGCAGCCCCCUUAAGGGCCGGGCUUCUGCACCGCUUCCGAUUGGAAAUAACUGAAAUGCCCAAGUGGUGUGCUAACAGUUUUUGAAAACUGAGUUGACCUUUGGGUUGUGGCUCAGAGCCGAGCUGGGCCAGGGUAUGGGAAGGAGGUGGGUGAACUAGCCGCUGGCCUGGGCAACCCGGCCAGGUGGCAAGUCUCACACUGUUGGCCGUUUGUGAUGACUUCUGCCAGGUUGAUGAUGUGAUGCUUUUUUUGGGGGGGGGGCUCUCAAGCAGAAAUGCAGCCUGGGGAGGCCUACGCAGUGAGUAGGGCUGCCUGGUGCUUCAGGGUGUAACAAGGUGUGAGAUUAUCUGGAAGUAGCUGUGAAGGCCGGGGAGUUCGAGAGACACUCUCAGUGCUCCCUCUGCACUAUCGCCCUACCACGUGGAGCGUCUUAUCUGCGGGAGGAAAUGAGAUGUGUCUCCCAACAUCCUUGGAAAUGUGAGGUCCUAGAGUUGACCGUUGGGGACAGGACAGAGGCUUUUUUACAAUUGCUGUUUCCUCUGUGUGACAAGGACAGUUAAAGGAUGGGAGGCAGGAGGACAGGCCCAACGCACACCUGCCCUCACCUGCCAGCACUACCAACAGCUGCCGGGACUCCCGCCCUGAGCUCUGGGUCCAGCUGCCUGCAACCUGGGAGGAGGUCAGAAUCCCAGGCCUAGAAGGAGCAUCCUGGGCAGCCGGCAGAAGGCACUUGGGGCCAGGCCCAGAGCCCCGAGCUCCCCUCGUGCCCCUGGGUCUCAGACCUUGCAUGGCUGCACCUCGCAGCCGGCCCACACAGGGUGCAGACCAAGGCCAACUUUCUCCCUGGCAUCCAGCUCUCUCCGGCUGGUCCGGGAGCACCUGGGGCCUGGGGAGUCUGGCUUCUCUGAAGCAGCACUUGGGCGGGGAGGGUCCCCAAAGCCCCCCCACGAUGCUGCCCCCUCUCACUGCACAGGGAGCCUGCACUCUGACAGAGCAGCAGGACAAACAAAGCUCAUUCUAGAAACCCCGGGCAUGCCCAGUUGGGGGCAGGGCAUGGCGGGACUGAAGCCAAGGGGCAGAGGGGGGCAGCUGGCAGAGCGCAUCUGCCAGCGAGGACCCCCCCACCAGCUUUCUGCUGACUGGUAACUGUUUGGUCUGGGUCAGAAGCCUUAAUCCCUUGAGCCCAAGCCGGGGCCAUGCACUCCUGGCCCCCGAGAGCAGGAGGGGUCCUGAUCAGCGUCAGGAGAGCCCCAGGGCCCAGACCUCCCCUCUCUCUCCACCCCCUGCCCUGCCAGCUGUGCCAAGCCCAGCCCCACUGCGUGUCCCCACCCAAGUGACCCGAGCAGCCAGUGGGAAGCAAAGCCCAGGACCCCUGGCUGAGGGGUGGGAGGAACUUGAGUUCAGCGGCCACAUCGUCCCCUCCUGGGCCAGGGGUCCCCUAGUGGGAAUGCCAGGGGCCCAGCUGUCUUGGUAAACUGAGGCUCCUGGAAGGUUUGGACCACUGUCCUCCCCAUCCACCCACCCAAGGCCACCCCUGCCCAAGCACCACAGUCUCGGAGCCCGGGGGGGGCUGUCAGCAAGGCCCCACUCUGGGCUUCUUUCUAGCCAAGAAAAAGGGCCUCUUUCUUCCCUUCCUUUCCUCCUUGUAGAGUAAUCGUCAGUGUCCCUAAUGCAGGCUUGAAGCAUCAGUGCCCACGUGACAGUGUGUUCUGCUUGUGGUUUCCUUGUGCACGUGUCGGCAUGAAAACACGUUUUGAGGGUAUUUUGGCGGCCGUAAGUGCCCCCAUGAGGCCAGGAGUGGACCUUGGGGAAACCAGCAUGUCUCAAGCACGUCACAGGGGAGUGAAGGAAACACAAGAAGGCAGGGCUGGGUGACUUGGAGUCUCCCUCCUCCCACAGCCUCCUCUCCCCUCCCCCUUUCUCUCCCAAGGUGUCCCCCAGCCCGAGAAUUAAGUGACUGGGUUGUGACCUCUGGCCCACGGGAUGGGGACACAAACCUCUGGGCCGGGCAGAAGGUGCUCUUUCUUCCUUUGAUGUCCCGGCCACUCUGUCCAGACGUCGCUGGGCCUCCAGGCAGCUCAUCCAUCUCGAGCUGCAGGCAGGCAGGAAAAGGCCAUCGGACCCCUGAUCCCAGCAUGAGUGACCAGAGGCAGUUUCCGGGACACGGUGAGGCCACCAAAGGUCGCUCGUCCUUCAAGAGCCUGUGCGGGGUCCUCUGAAAAGAAGCCAUAUGUCAAUACCCUGCCCCUUCCUUCUCUGUCUGCAGAGACCAUUGCCAAACAUUGUCAAGACCAGUUCCAGUUCUCAGAGCAAACUGUGCUUCUAGCAGAUUCUACCCCAACUGUGUUUGGAUGUCCAGUGGUUUUUAUUUCUGAUUUUUAAAAAAAAAUUCCAGGUGUGCCAUACCCACUUUCCUGCAGUGUUUUAAUAUUGUGUGGAAUUGUUAAUACCAAGUGAAUUAAUCCACAAUAAAAAGGCUCACUGUCCCUUUC